RNAcentral lists this unclassified non-coding RNA (277 nucleotides) under Ascocoryne sp. RNAcentral describes it as "partial contains 5.8S ribosomal RNA, internal transcribed spacer 2, and large subunit ribosomal RNA". The stretch from base 1 to 71 matches the Rfam family "5.8S ribosomal RNA", at positions 84 to 154 of the family's 154-position model. The record is from RNAcentral. Lineage: Eukaryota; Fungi; Ascomycota; Leotiomycetes; Helotiales; Gelatinodiscaceae.
GUGAAUCAUCGAAUCUUUGAACGCACAUUGCGCCCCGUGGCAUUCCGCGGGGCAUGCCUGUUCGAGCGUCAUUAUAAACCCAAUCACGCAUGGCGUGGUCUUGGGGCUGGCAGCUCUGCCGCCCUUAAAGACAGUGGCAGCGCCGUAGGGCUCUUAGCGUAGUAAUACUCCUCGCUAUAGGGUCUCGCGGUCGCCUGCCAGCAACCCCAUCUUUCUCGGUUGACCUCGGAUCAGGUAGGGAUACCCGCUGAACUUAAGCAUAUCAAUAAGCGGAGGA